Molecule: small nuclear RNA, 125 nt
Organism: Magnolia sinica
Lineage: Eukaryota; Viridiplantae; Streptophyta; Magnoliopsida; Magnoliales; Magnoliaceae
Product: U11 spliceosomal RNA
Exons: 1
Source: RefSeq, a predicted model, not a curated record
AAAAAGGGUGGUCUGUUAGCUAAAUAUGCCACGCCUGCCCUCGGAUGGUGAGUGCUGUAUGGCUAUCAAGACAUAUGGCCCACAUAAUUUGUGAUUCUACUAAUCCUUUAAGGCUUUAGAUCAUA